CAGUCGCCACGGUAAUACGUAGGGCGCAAGCGUUAUCCGGAAUUAUUGGGCGUAAAGAGCUCGUAGGCGGUUUGUCGCGUCUGCCGUGAAAGUCCGGGGCUCAACCCCGGAUCUGCGGUGGGUACGGGCAGACUAGAGUGAUGUAGGGGAGACUGGAAUUCCUGGUGUAGCGGUGAAAUGCGCAGAUAUCAGGAGGAACACCGAUGGCGAAGGCAGGUCUCUGGGCAUUAACUGACGCUGAGGAGCGAAAGCAUGGGGAGCGAACAGGAUUAGAUACCCGAGUAGUCCCUGUCUCUUAUAA
RNAcentral lists this ribosomal RNA (301 nucleotides) under uncultured bacterium. RNAcentral describes it as "partial 16S ribosomal RNA". It matches the Rfam family "Bacterial small subunit ribosomal RNA", at positions 509 to 809 of the family's 1533-position model. The record is from RNAcentral.